CCAGCGAGACCACGAACCCACCGGAAGGAAGAAACUCUGAACACAUCCGAACAUCAGAAGGAACAAACUCCGGACACGCCGCCUUUAAGAACUGUUAACACUCACCGCAAGGGUCCGCGGCUUCGUUCUUGAAGUCAGUGAGACCAAGAACCCACCAAUUCCGGACACAAGGGGAGCUGACUUUCAUUAUAAAGAUUUUCUCAUUGCAAAGUGAAAAAGAGAAUAAUAACUUUAAAACAAGGCAGAAAGUAAAGAGAACUGGAAGCGAGGAACAUGCUCUGAACUAGAACUGGCAACAUGAGAGAUGAGCUCAGGCUUCAAAAUGGUGUCUGCACUGGGUCUUGAAGGAAGAGCAGAGUUUGGGCAUUUAGAAACCAAGAAUUCCAGGUCUCCCUGUUUUACUAACUU
Molecule: long non-coding RNA, 408 nt
Filed under: Homo sapiens (human)
Lineage: Eukaryota; Metazoa; Chordata; Mammalia; Primates; Hominidae
Description: HSALNT0064252
Source: RNAcentral